AUUAACCAUUAAACGGUUGAAAAGCUUGAAGUUUUUUCAUCGCCAUUUUGAAAGUUACGUGAAGCAAACCGAACGCGUUUCGCAAAAUCUUUUUUUCGCACGGAUAGAAUAAAAUUCCAAAUAAAUAUAUACCUGUGGUUCGGGUGUGCGUGGAGAGAUUCUGAAAGUGCACCAGUUGGAAGAAUCCGCAAGAGUCCGGAUUCAGUUCCGGUGAAACUUAAACGUGACGUCUUGCGCGGGAGUACUAAUUUAUUACCGGAACGAGCGCACCUAUUGCCACAAAAAUUGGUCAUCCCGAUCGUUCUCCUUAUUCUGAUGGAGCUGGGGCGGGUCGGACAACCCAAAAAGCAAGGAUCAUCCCCGGUGCAUUUAGCGCUAAGAAGCCGAAAAGCGAACAGUGUAAACCGGUCAAAAAUGAAGGAAUACGCCAUCCCGAAAAGCUCCCGUCGGAGCAGAGCAGCUUCGUGACACAGCGGAUGGUCCACAUCAAGUCGAAUGCGAACAAGAUCGUCCGAAAGCCGCUGCUCAAGAAUCGGGAAACAAAGUUUUGGAAACAGGAAUUCUCAUUGCCGAUUACCGGAGAGUCGGGCGGGACCAGAUGUGCAUCAAACCGAACUUUAUGAAGACGGGAGUGUCGUUGAAAUAUGAGAAGGUGGAACAUGGUCGACUCAUUCUGGUGUUCCAGCACCGGGGCAAGAAUAUUGCUAAUAAGGAGGCGAUGCCGCCAUGGCCAGGCUAGGAUUGCCUAUAAGCGUAGGUCGGUUUUCUCAAGCAGACCGAGGGUGUGGACGCGACGCUUAAAAUGGUAGAA
Molecule: long non-coding RNA, 811 nt
Organism: Uranotaenia lowii
Lineage: Eukaryota; Metazoa; Arthropoda; Insecta; Diptera; Culicidae
Exons: 3
Source: RefSeq, a predicted model, not a curated record